Molecule: ribosomal RNA, 114 nt
Organism: Lepisosteus oculatus (spotted gar)
Lineage: Eukaryota; Metazoa; Chordata; Actinopteri; Semionotiformes; Lepisosteidae
Source: Ensembl
GCCAGCAGCCAUAUCACCCUGCAACUCACAACUGGUAACCCACUGAAGCUAAGCAGGUGUGAGCCUGGUCAGUACCUGGAUGGGAGACCUCCUGGGAAAAGGUUGCUGCUGGAA